GCCAGCUUGGCGGAUAUGGCCCUCGGUUUGUAACUGAGUGGGCUCGGGUUCGAAUCCCGAAUAAGGCA
Trichonephila clavata is the source of this 68-nucleotide non-coding RNA. The record is from the annotation of a GenBank genome assembly. NCBI's taxonomy places the organism in Eukaryota, Metazoa, Arthropoda, Arachnida, Araneae, Nephilidae.